Molecule: unclassified non-coding RNA, 266 nt
Filed under: uncultured fungus
Lineage: Eukaryota; Fungi
Description: partial contains small subunit ribosomal RNA, internal transcribed spacer 1, and 5.8S ribosomal RNA
Rfam family: Eukaryotic small subunit ribosomal RNA (bases 1-73)
Source: RNAcentral
GCAAACUUGGUCAUUUAGAGGAAGUAAAAGUCGUAACAAGGUUUCCGUAGGUGAACCUGCGGAAGGAUCAUUACCGUGGGGCUCCGGCCCCAUUGAGAUAGCACCCUUGUCCUUUAUGUUACCGUACGUUUUCCCUGGCGGGUCCGCCCGCCACCGGGGACACCAUAAACUCUUGCAGUAUAGCAGUACCUGUCUGAAAAACAAAGCAAUAAAUUAAAACUUUCAACAACGGAUCUCUUGGUUCUGGCAUCGAUGAAGAACGCAGC